GUGAUGUUUCAUAGCACUGAUAUACAGCAUACCAAGAUUAUGUAUUUCAAUAAGAACUGGUCUUCAAAAAGUACAGACUUGUUGAUCUUACUAUGUAUCACCAUGAGGCACUGGAACCUAUCUGAGCGGAUGGCUGACAGCAACAGACAACUGUCAUCUUUAUAUUUGUGUCUAAUCUCUUCUAUCUUUCAGAAUACAGCAUAUCUAUGAUUUCAGCUGGAGGAAUAUAUCACCCUGAAACUUACAUUCUAUGGAUUUUGGCAUUCAUUUAAUCUUUAUUUUAAAAGCUCUCCUGUAAUGUUCUUAUUUUUUUUUUCUGUUUCAAUUAUUAUUAUUAUUAUUUUUAAGAUAGUCAUUAUUGCUUCUCAAAUUCCAGUUAUUCAGUGGAUAUAUGCAGAAUGACAGUAUCACUUACCAAAGGUGAGCCCAUAUGCCGUUGUGGUUCCCAAUUAGAAAAUAAGCACCAGCUGACUUAGAAACACAGCUGCAGAGGAGUAGCCAUGUACUCUCUGCUCUCCUUCUCGCAAAGAGUCGUAUGCUCCGAAAAGGGGCUAUGGAAAAGAGAAUUUCAAAAUGACGGAGAGACAGAAAAAAACAACAGAAAACAAAUAGGCCAUAUUUACUGGUAAACUUCAAACAAAAUCUUUGUAGCUUUUAAGUAGUCAAAACCUUUCAAGGAGUUUUCUCUUAGAUAUUUGACCUUUUUUUUCUUUUUCUUUUCUUUUUUAUGGGAGAGUCUUUCAUCCGAAACUCUGGGAGAAAUGUGAGCUGUAAUAUCACAGCUUUCUGGUGUUCUUGACUCACUAAAACCCAACUGAAAAAAAGACAUGAGUUUAUAUCAUUCCUGAACUUCAAUAAAGGUUUGAUUCUAUUUAUUUUACUACUUACA
This 889-nucleotide long non-coding RNA is filed under the name Coturnix japonica (Japanese quail). RNAcentral's name for it is "lncRNA (ENSCJPG00005018381.1)". Lineage: Eukaryota; Metazoa; Chordata; Aves; Galliformes; Phasianidae. The record is from RNAcentral.